AACAGGAUUAGAUACCCUGGUAGUCCACGCUGUAAACGAUGUCGACUUGGAGGUUGUGCCCUUGAGGCGUGGCUUCCGGAGCUAACGCGUUAAGUCGACCGCCUGGGGAGUACGGCCGCAAGGUUAAAACUCAAAUGAAUUGACGGGGGCCCGCACAAGCGGUGGAGCAUGUGGUUUAAUUCGAUGCAACGCGAAGAACCUUACCUACUCUUGACAUCCAGAGAAUUUGCUAGAGAUAGCUUAGUGCCUUCGGGAACUCUGAGACAGGUGCUGCAUGGCUGUCGUCAGCUCGUGUUGUGAAAUGUUGGGUUAAGUCCCGCAACGAGCGCAACCCUUAUCCUUUGUUGCCAGCACGUAAUGGUGGGAACUCAAAGGAGACUGCCGGUGAUAAACCGGAGGAAGGUGGGGAUGACGUCAAGUCAUCAUGGCCCUUACGAGUGGGGCUACACACGUGCUACAAUGGCAUAUACAAAGAGAAGCGAACUCGCGAGAGCAAGCGGACCUCAUAAAGUAUGUCGUAGUCCGGAUUGGAGUCUGCAACUCGACUCCAUGAAGUCGGAAUCGCUAGUAAUCGUAGAUCAGAAUGCUACGGUGAAUACGUUCCCGGGCCUUGUACACACCGCCCGUCACACCAUGGGAGUGGGUUGCAAAAGAAGUAGGUAGCUUAACCUUCGGGAGGGCGCUUACCACUUUGUGAUUCAUGACUGGGGUGAAGUCGUAACAAGGUAACC
This 731-nucleotide ribosomal RNA is filed under the name uncultured bacterium. RNAcentral describes it as "bacterial SSU rRNA". It matches the Rfam family "Bacterial small subunit ribosomal RNA", at positions 771 to 1501 of the family's 1533-position model. The record is from RNAcentral.